RNAcentral lists this transfer RNA (75 nucleotides) under Nitrososphaerota archaeon. Its description in RNAcentral is "tRNA-Glu". It matches the Rfam family "tRNA". From Rfam's summary of the family: Transfer RNA (tRNA) molecules are approximately 80 nucleotides in length. Their secondary structure includes four short double-helical elements and three loops (D, anti-codon, and T loops). Further hydrogen bonds mediate the characteristic L-shaped molecular structure. tRNAs have two regions of fundamental functional importance: the anti-codon, which is responsible for specific mRNA codon recognition, and the 3' end, to which the tRNAs corresponding amino acid is attached (by aminoacyl-tRNA synthetases). tRNAs cope with the degeneracy of the genetic code in two manners: having more than one tRNA (with a specific anti-codon) for a particular amino acid; and 'wobble' base-pairing, i.e. permitting non-standard base-pairing at the 3rd anti-codon position. The record is from RNAcentral. RNAcentral also lists the same sequence under 1 other name. Lineage: Archaea; Thermoproteati; Nitrososphaerota.
GCCCCGGUCGUAUAGUCAGGUCAAGUAUACCGGCCUUUCGAGCCGGUGACCCGGGUUCAAAUCCCGGCCGGGGCA